AUCUUUCUAAUAUUAAUAUUAGUAUAGAUGGCUUCCAACCAUCCAGACUUGGUUUAAAUCCAAGGAAAGAUA
RNAcentral lists this transfer RNA (72 nucleotides) under Crenuchus spilurus (sailfin tetra). RNAcentral describes it as "tRNA-Gly". Lineage: Eukaryota; Metazoa; Chordata; Actinopteri; Characiformes; Crenuchidae. The record is from RNAcentral.